UUGGAGGGCAAGUCUGGUGCCAGCAGCCGCGGUAAUUCCAGCUCCAAUAGCGUAUAUUAAAGUUGUUGCAGUUAAAAAGCUCGUAGUUGAAUUUCGGAAUCUGUCCAUCGGUCGGGCUUCAUUGUUCGUACUGGUGUGGUGGGUUCUUACCUUCUGAAUAACCAGCAUGCCAUUCACUUGGUGCGUUGGGGAAGCAGGACUAUUACCUUGAAAAAAUUAGAGUGCUCAAAGCAGGCCAGUGCCUGAAUACAUUAGCAUGGAAUAAUAAAAUAGGACGGCAUGGUUCUAUUUUGUUGGUUUCUAGGAUCACCGUAAUGAUUAAUAGGGAUAGUUGGGGGCAUUAGUAUUCAAUUGUCAGAGGUGAAAUUCUUGGAUUUAUUGAAGACUAACUUCUGCGAAAGCAUUUGCCAAGGAUGUUUUCAUUAAUCAAGAACGAAAGUUAGGGGAUCGAAGACGAUCAGAUACCGUCGUAGUCUUAACCAUAAACUAUGCCGACUAGGGAUCGGAUGAUGUUAUUUUUAAUGACUCAUUCGGCGCCUUACGGGAAAC
RNAcentral lists this ribosomal RNA (549 nucleotides) under uncultured Glomeromycotina. RNAcentral's name for it is "SSU rRNA". It matches the Rfam family "Eukaryotic small subunit ribosomal RNA", at positions 548 to 1098 of the family's 1831-position model. Lineage: Eukaryota; Fungi; Glomeromycota. The record is from RNAcentral.